This 254-nucleotide ribosomal RNA is filed under the name uncultured bacterium. RNAcentral's name for it is "partial 16S ribosomal RNA". It matches the Rfam family "Bacterial small subunit ribosomal RNA", at positions 524 to 776 of the family's 1533-position model. The record is from RNAcentral.
CACGUAGGGUGCGAGCGUUGUCCGGAAUUAUUGGGCGUAAAGAGCUCGUAGGCGGUGUGUCGCGUCGGCCGUAAAAACCUGGGGCUUAACUCUGGGCGUGCGGUCGAUACGGGCAUCACUGGAGUUCGGCAGGGGAGACUGGAAUUCCUGGUGUAGCGGUGAAAUGCGCAGAUAUCAGGAGGAACACCGGUGGCGAAGGCGGGUCUCUGGGCCGAUACUGACGCUGAGGAGCGAAAGCGUGGGGAGCGAACAGG